GCGCGGGUGGUGAAAUGGCAUACACGCAUCCUUGAGGUGGAUGUGCCCGUAAGGGCGUGGAGGUUCGACUCCUCUCCCGCGCA
This 83-nucleotide transfer RNA is filed under the name bacterium. Its description in RNAcentral is "tRNA-Leu". It matches the Rfam family "tRNA". From Rfam's summary of the family: Transfer RNA (tRNA) molecules are approximately 80 nucleotides in length. Their secondary structure includes four short double-helical elements and three loops (D, anti-codon, and T loops). The record is from RNAcentral.